CAGGCACCGCUGAAGGCAGCCCCUAUUGAGAGCUGCUAGGGCCCGGGGUCCUAGGUUUCUAUGACGACGCAAGGCAUUCCAAGAAAAGGCGAGGCUGCCCGCGCCCGGCGGGAAACACAUUUUGCUGGUACAGCUUUCAAGUGUCCGUUUCCCUUCGGUUUAAAUGAAGAAACGAUGAAAACCCAGGCUGCCAGACCCCUGAGUCCGCGAGGGCACUGCUUGUGGGAGAGGUUGGAGUCCCUAACUGACUGCCUAGAGCGCGCCACCGAGCUGCUGGCUGCCAGUGCGUAGGGUCAUCGGGUAGGGUGUGCGGGUGUGUCCUUCCCGGCCUGUGCUGGGACCCUGACGCCCCUGCAAGCUUCUGAGUCAGGACAGAUGGGCCGAGAGAUCACGGAGGACUCCAAAAGAGGGACAGUGUAGUAACCUGAAAGUCCCAGAAGUGCCAGUAGCAGACUGAUUUAUUUCUGAGUUAUCUUUCUGGAGGAAUACGUCACAUUACUAAAAAGAGUGAUAGGAAGCAUUAUUAUGUCUCUCCCGAAAACGCCAACCUCACCGUUAAUCUCCCCAGCAUCUUCUGACCCUAGGAAGUCAAAAGUAUCUGCCGUUAAGGAGACAAGAGGUGAUCACAGAUAUGGAUCUUCCUGUAGUGCAACCAGACAGAAACAGCCCUGUCAGCACCUUGAUUUUAGCCCGGCAAGACCUGCAUUGGCCCUCUGACCUACAGAACUGGGAUAAUAAAUCUGUGUUGCUUAAGCUAAGUUUGCAGUAACUCAUUAUGGCAGAAAUAUGUAUAUGCCCAAUUAAUAGUAACAAGAGGAAACUUGCCCAGCAAUCUCAAACAUCCAGAGCACAGCACCAAAAUACCAAUGACAAAGUGAAUAUUUUUGUCAGCUCUGUCAGAGCUCAAUGCAAAAAUAAAUCACUGUAUAUAUUUCAAGUAGGAAAAAGCUAAAGGUGGAAACCUGAGUGUGUAUAAAAUCGUUGGAAGGGUUAAAGGAGUUGGUGUAAGCAGUUUCUGUCGGAAAAACUCCCAGUUUGGGCAGAGUUGACUCCACAAAGAGGCAACUCCCUCCAAAGCAGCCACAAGAGCUCUUGUUCAAGAAUGUACCCCUCUGAGCAGACAUUUGUCCAAAGCGCAUACAAUUAGUUAAUUGAUUACUCUGUUUUUUCUUUGUGCCCUUUUCUCUCUCUCUCCCUCUUUCUCUCUUUCUUUUUUUCUUCUUUCUCUUCCUCCUCCUUCCUCCCUCCUCCUUCCUCCCUCCUCUUCAUCCUCUUUCUCCUUCUGGCUCCAUAGAGAUUUCUUUCUUUUUUCCUGUCUCUAUACUGCCCUGGGAAGAAAUUACAGAAAUGAGUAACAUAGAUCAGGACAGGA
Non-coding RNA from Heterocephalus glaber (naked mole-rat), 1372 nucleotides. The record is from RefSeq and is a predicted model, not a curated record. Lineage: Eukaryota; Metazoa; Chordata; Mammalia; Rodentia; Bathyergidae.